GCCUCGUUAGCUCAGCUGGUAGAGCUUAGACUUUUAAUCUAACUGUCAGGGUUCAAACCCCCUAUGAGGAG
Molecule: non-coding RNA, 71 nt
Organism: Parelaphostrongylus tenuis
Lineage: Eukaryota; Metazoa; Nematoda; Chromadorea; Rhabditida; Metastrongylidae
Source: the annotation of a GenBank genome assembly